Molecule: ribosomal RNA, 440 nt
Filed under: uncultured bacterium
Lineage: Bacteria
Description: bacterial SSU rRNA
Rfam family: Bacterial small subunit ribosomal RNA
Source: RNAcentral
CCUACGGGUGGCAGCAGUAGGGAAUAUUGGGCAAUGGAGGCAACUCUGACCCAGCCAUGCCGCGUGCAGGAAGACGGCCUUCUGGGUUGUAAACUGCUUUUAUCAGGGAAGAAAAAGCUCCUGCGGGAGUAAUUGACGGUACCUGAGGAAUAAGCACCGGCUAACUCCGUGCCAGCAGCCGCGGUAAUACGGAGGGUGCAAGCGUUGUCCGGAUUUAUUGGGUUUAAAGGGUGCGUAGGCGGCUGUUUAAGUCAGGGGUGAAAGUCUGCGGCUUAACCGUAGGAUUGCCCUUGAUACUGGACAGCUUGAGUUUGGUUGAGGUAGGCGGAAUGGAUGGUGUAGCGGUGAAAUGCAUAGAUAUCAUCCAGAACACCGAUAGCGAAGGCAGCUUACUGAGCCGAAACUGACGCUGAGGCACGAAAGCAUGGGGAUCGAACAGG